Molecule: small nuclear RNA, 161 nt
Organism: Anneissia japonica
Lineage: Eukaryota; Metazoa; Echinodermata; Crinoidea; Comatulida; Comatulidae
Product: U1 spliceosomal RNA
Exons: 1
Source: RefSeq, a predicted model, not a curated record
AUACUUACCUGGCAUUGGAGUGACUUUGAUCAAGAAGGAAGUCCUCCCGGGUGAGGCCUCGGCAUUGUACAUUCGGCUAGGUUGACCCUUGCGAUUCCACUAAUGUUGGACUCGUGUGCGAAAUUUGUGGUAGCGAGGGACUGCGUUCGCGCUGACCCGCA